GGUGUUGAUUAGACAAUCGCUGUUUUUAUUUCGUUAUUUUUAAUUAUAGAAGCAGAGGAAAGUCCGGGCUCCACAGGGUAGAGUGCCAGGUAAUUCCUGGGGGAUGUGAAGUCCACGACGAGUGCAACAGAAAAUACACCGCCUUAUAAUAUUAUAUAAUUAUUAAUCAUUAUAGUUAUAAGGUAAGGGUGAAAAGGUGCGGUAAGAGCGCACCGCAUAUUUGGUAACAAUAUAUGGCAGUGUAAACUCCACUUGGAGCAAGGCUAAAUUGGAAAGAUAUUAUAAUAACAACAAUAAAUAAUAGGUAUGGCCCGUGCCUUAAUCUUUUGGGUGAGCCGCUUUUGAGCUAGUAUGUGAAUGCUGGUCUAGAUAGAUGAUUGUCCAUGACAGAACCCGGCUUAUCGGUCAACUCCCCAU
RNAcentral lists this RNase P RNA (417 nucleotides) under Blochmannia endosymbiont of Polyrhachis (Hedomyrma) turneri. Its description in RNAcentral is "Bacterial RNase P class A". It matches the Rfam family "Bacterial RNase P class A". From Rfam's summary of the family: Ribonuclease P (RNase P) is a ubiquitous endoribonuclease, found in archaea, bacteria and eukarya as well as chloroplasts and mitochondria. Its best characterised activity is the generation of mature 5'-ends of tRNAs by cleaving the 5'-leader elements of precursor-tRNAs. The record is from Rfam by way of RNAcentral. Lineage: Bacteria; Pseudomonadati; Pseudomonadota; Gammaproteobacteria; Enterobacterales; Enterobacteriaceae.